This is a long non-coding RNA of Oncorhynchus nerka (sockeye salmon), 460 nucleotides long. RefSeq lists it as uncharacterized. The transcript is spliced from 2 exons. The record is from RefSeq and is a predicted model, not a curated record. Lineage: Eukaryota; Metazoa; Chordata; Actinopteri; Salmoniformes; Salmonidae.
UUUACGUUAUCACGCAGUGACAUCACAACGUCAUUUAGCAACUUUUAGCAACAAAUCAACCUGCCUCUAGCAACUUACCCUGAAAAUUUGUUUGCAGCACUUGCAACGACAGUUUCAUGGACUCACCCUGCAAAUACCACCAUGGCGCUGUGCAAGAGAGAGAUCCAAUGCUGUGUAACAACGACAAUACAGUUAUCAAUUUCAACAGUGUCAAUAUACACCCCAAUGCUAGCCUAACAAAAACUAAGAAUCAGAGACAUCUUUACUGCUGCACAACAUGGUCCUGCUCUCCGUGAACUACCCCAGCCCCUGACCAGAGGAAGAAAGCAUGCAGCUGCAACCAGACUCUUUGUUAAAUGUAUUCAUUUGCUCUCAGACUAAUUCUAAUGGAACAGAAACCAUUCAUCUAAUUUUCUCUGGACAGAGAGGCAUAGAAUUAAACAAACGGAUCAAUUGCUAA